AGAGUUUGAUCCUGGCUCAGGAUGAACGCUAGCGGCAGGCCUAACACAUGCAAGUCGAGGGGUAGAACACUUCGGUGUUUGAGACCGGCGCACGGGUGCGUAACGCGUAUGCAAUCUACCUUAUACAGGGGAAUAGCCCAGAGAAAUUUGGAUUAAUGCCCCAUAGCAUUACGACUUGGCAUCAAGAUGUAAUUAAAGUUCCAACGGUAUAAGAUGAGCAUGCGUCCCAUUAGUUAGUUGGUAAGGUAACGGCUUACCAAGACGAUGAUGGGUAGGGGUCCUGAGAGGGAGAUCCCCCACACUGGUACUGAGACACGGACCAGACUCCUACGGGAGGCAGCAGUGAGGAAUAUUGGUCAAUGGUCGCAAGACUGAACCAGCCAUGCCGCGUGCAGGAAGACGGUCCUAUGGAUUGUAAACUGCUUUUAUACAGGGAGAAACCCUCCCACGUGUGGGAGCUUGACGGUACUGUAGGAAUAAGGAUCGGCUAACUCCGUGCCAGCAGCCGCGGUAAUACGGAGGAUCCAAGCGUUAUCCGGAAUCAUUGGGUUUAAAGGGUCCGUAGGCGGUCUUAUAAGUCAGUGGUGAAAGCCCAUCGCUCAACGAUGGAACUGCCAUUGAUACUGUAAGACUUGAAUGCUUAGGAAGUAACUAGAAUAUGUAGUGUAGCGGUGAAAUGCUUAGAUAUUACAUGGAAUACCAAUUGCGAAGGCAGGUUACUACUAAGUGAUUGACGCUGAUGGACGAAAGCGAGGGGAGCGAACAGGAUUAGAUACCCUGGUAGUCCACGCCGUAAACGAUGUCAACUAGUUGUCGGGCCUUACUAGGCUUGGUAACGAAGCUAACGCGUGAAGUUGACCGCCUGGGGAGUACGGUCGCAAGAUUAAAACUCAAAGGAAUUGACGGGGACCCGCACAAGCGGUGGAUUAUGUGGAUUAAUUCGAUGCAACGCGAAAAACCUUACCUACCCUUGACAUGUAGCGAAUUUUCUAGAGAUAGAUUAGUGCCUUCGGGAACGCUAACACAGGUGCUGCAUGGCUGUCGUCAGCUCGUGUCGUGAGAUGUUGGGUUAAGUCCCGCAACGAGCGCAACCCUUGUCAUUAAUUGCCAUCAUUUAGUUGGGCACCUUAAUGAGACUGCCGGUGACAAACCGGAGGAAGGUGGGGAUGACGUCAAGUCCUCAUGGCCCUUAUGGGUAGGGCUUCACACGUAAUACAAUGGCGCGUACAGAGGGUUGCCAACCCGCGAGGGGGAGCUAAUCUCAGAAAGCGCGUCGUAGUCCGGAUCGGAGUCUGCAACUCGACUCCGUGAAGUCGGAAUCGCUAGUAAUCGCGGAUCAGCAUGUCGCGGAGAAUACGUUCCCGGGUCUUGUACACACCGCCCGUCACACCAUGGGAGUGGGUUUCACCAGAAGCAGGUAGUCUAACCGUAAGGAGGGCGCUUGCCACGGUGAGAUUCAUGACUGGGGUGAAGUCGUAACAAGGUAACC
RNAcentral lists this ribosomal RNA (1489 nucleotides) under uncultured bacterium. RNAcentral describes it as "partial 16S ribosomal RNA". It matches the Rfam family "Bacterial small subunit ribosomal RNA". The record is from RNAcentral.